CCAAUGCAACCUCCGUCCGUGCAUGGCUCGCGCAGUCGUGCUCUGAUUUCGUCUCGUCCUCCCGCCGUCCCCUUGCCUUCGCACACGCCAAAACUUUAGCUGCACAUAUGCUCUCCUCACUCCUCUUCUGCUCGUCUGGGAGUCCCAAAUCCGGGUGGGGAAGAAAGAACACUUCGCUGGUGUGAGAGCUUGAAGCUGCCAGCAUGAUCUGGCUGCUCAAACGCCGCCGGCCUCCCAAGUGCUCGAUCGGUGGCGCUUCACCAGAUCAUGUUGCAGCUUCACUCUCUCGCAACCAGCGAAGGGCGGCAAAGCACCGUGGAGGCUCCGGACAAUGAAUUCCUUCGCCGGAGGCACUCGCAUUGACGUCGCUCAUCGACGACUAGAAGAAGCUUGGUGACUGCCAGUUCAACCUCUAGAAGCAGUACUACGUGGCCGUAUGCGCCGCUAUGUACGACAAGCUCCGGCGCAGCCGCCGCUUUGACGCGGUCCAAAGCGGCUGUACCGCGCUGUCCAUCGUCAAGGAGGGGGACCUCAUGGUCGUCGAUGACUCUCGGGUUGUUCUAGGGACCGCAUACGACGCCGCCGCCAUCACGCCGUCCAGCUCAUCGUCCACCUGAAGCCCAACCUGCCACGUAAGUCGCCACUGAUCGGCCAUGAAUUCUUGUGCGCUGGGACGACGGCCGUUGCUGACGUUGUGUGAGUGUCCUCGAACAUGAUGUAUGUAGAGCAGUAGCGUAUCCGAUGGUGCAACGGCCAGGGGUACUACCUCGCUGAUGAGCCCAGGUGCACUUCGUUUGGCAGUCCAGCCAAGAGUCAUCGGUACUCACCAUGUCGCGCGUGUUUGACGACUACUAUAUUGAGGAUUGUAGCGUCAUAUUGACGCCGAGAUGACGCCGAGGAGGACCGACAACAAUGACCAGUUCGUCAUCCUCACCACCGUCGGGGUAGCUUUUGUGACGGUCUGCCUUUAAUUCUCUUCGCAAACA
Long non-coding RNA from Zea mays, 986 nucleotides. RefSeq annotates it as MIR167iHG. The record is from RefSeq and is marked validated. NCBI's taxonomy places the organism in Eukaryota, Viridiplantae, Streptophyta, Magnoliopsida, Poales, Poaceae. The transcript has 2 exons.